UACGUAGGGGGCGAGCGUUGUCCGGAAUUAUUGGGCGUAAAGAGCUCGUAGGCGGUUUGUCACGUCUGCUGUGAAAUCCCGAGGCUCAACCUCGGGCCUGCAGUGGGUACGGGCAGACUGGAGUGCGGUAGGGGAGAAUGGAAUUCCUGGUGUAGCGGUGGAAUGCGCAGAUAUCAGGAGGAACACCGAUGGCGAAGGCAGUUCUCUGGGCCGUAACUGACGCUGAGGAGCGAAAGCGUGGGGAGCGAACAGG
Molecule: ribosomal RNA, 253 nt
Filed under: uncultured bacterium
Lineage: Bacteria
Description: partial 16S ribosomal RNA
Rfam family: Bacterial small subunit ribosomal RNA
Source: RNAcentral